Molecule: unclassified non-coding RNA, 497 nt
Filed under: Litchfieldia salsa
Lineage: Bacteria; Bacillati; Bacillota; Bacilli; Caryophanales; Bacillaceae
Source: RNAcentral
AAUAACUAUAAAUUGGGUGGUGCAGUAUUCUAGUCAGUCCUCCGUUUCUGAAGACGGGCCUAAAAAUCCGUCAAAGGGCACAUCGAUGAAGUCCCUGGCGUUGGCUUGAGGCGCCCAGCCUUGGGUUGAUGCUGGGGGUUAAGGUUGCAGGGCGAUCCACAAUGGCAUGUGGGCGUUGACCCUGCUUCCGUGGAGGCCCAUUUAUGUAGGAAUUUCAUCCUAUGGGAUGGGGUAUGAACCUGUGUUGGUCUCGUUUUUGGUAGUUGAGAUUCAAACAGCGUAGCCUGCCUUGAGUGGAGUUAAGGGGAUUAUGGUUCGAGAUUCAUACAUCAGUUGGCCAUUGAUAUAUGAGUCAAAGGUUAGCCCAUAUGAAAUUAACUCUGCAAAAGAGGCUAGGAAAUGGUUAAGGACUGUUUGAGGAAAACUCCUAGGCUGUUCUAAAUGGACAUAUGAAUAGGAUUGCAGUACGGACUAAGUGGUAAUCCAGUCUAGCAUUC